This 72-nucleotide transfer RNA is filed under the name Armatimonadota bacterium. Its description in RNAcentral is "Armatimonadetes bacterium (activated sludge metagenome) tRNA-Val". It matches the Rfam family "tRNA". Rfam says of the family: Transfer RNA (tRNA) molecules are approximately 80 nucleotides in length. Their secondary structure includes four short double-helical elements and three loops (D, anti-codon, and T loops). Further hydrogen bonds mediate the characteristic L-shaped molecular structure. tRNAs have two regions of fundamental functional importance: the anti-codon, which is responsible for specific mRNA codon recognition, and the 3' end, to which the tRNAs corresponding amino acid is attached (by aminoacyl-tRNA synthetases). tRNAs cope with the degeneracy of the genetic code in two manners: having more than one tRNA (with a specific anti-codon) for a particular amino acid; and 'wobble' base-pairing, i.e. permitting non-standard base-pairing at the 3rd anti-codon position. RNAcentral also lists the same sequence under 1 other name. Lineage: Bacteria; Bacillati; Armatimonadota. The record is from RNAcentral.
GGGCGUGUAGCUCAGUGGGAGAGCGCUUGACUCACAUUCAAGAGGUCGGUGGUUCGAAACCACCCACGCCCA